AUACGGAGGGGGCUAGCGUUGUUCGGAAUUACUGGGCGUAAAGCGCGCGUAGGCGGAUCGUUAAGUCAGGGGUGAAAGCCCGGAGCUCAACUCCGGAACUGCCCUUGAUACUGGCGAUCUCGAGUCCGGGAGAGGUGAGCGGAAUUCCUAGUGUAGAGGUGAAAUUCGUAGAUAUUAAGAGGAACACCAGUGGCGAAGGCGGCUCACUGGCCCGGUACUGACGCUGAGGUGCGAAAGCGUGGGGAGCAAACAGGAUUAGAAACCCUAGUAGUCC
This 274-nucleotide ribosomal RNA is filed under the name uncultured bacterium. RNAcentral describes it as "partial 16S ribosomal RNA". It matches the Rfam family "Bacterial small subunit ribosomal RNA", at positions 523 to 796 of the family's 1533-position model. The record is from RNAcentral.